This is a long non-coding RNA of Piliocolobus tephrosceles (Ugandan red Colobus), 3518 nucleotides long. RefSeq lists it as uncharacterized. The transcript has 3 exons. NCBI's taxonomy places the organism in Eukaryota, Metazoa, Chordata, Mammalia, Primates, Cercopithecidae. The record is from RefSeq and is a predicted model, not a curated record.
CCAAACAUCUCCGCCCCAGCUUCGGCUCUCCCAGUGACAUUCCUAAAUGGCUGUGGCUAGAGCCCUAAGUGUAAGCACUGGAGAGCCAGGGCCAGCUCCGCAAUCAGGAGGUAAGGCCCUGGGGCAGCUGGCCCCGCACCAAAGCCAAGUGGCUGGCAGCAGCCCACGGCCACCUGGAGCAUAGCAUAGAGGCCUUUCUUUCCUGUUCUCGGUCCCUGGAAGCAGCAGGUUCCCAUCUGUGACCUGAAGGAACACAAGGGAGAAUCGUGGCUGUGCUGCUCCUAUGCACUGGACGUGGGGAGGCACCAAUGUCCAGCUUGUGGAUCAAGACUUCAAGGGCACAAAGGGCAAUGUGGGUGCAGAAGGAACCAAAGGUAGGGGCGAGGUGGGCCCAGGCCACGUCAACCCUAGAGCUGUCUUCUCCUGGCUGUGGAAAAGGUCACGCGAGCACACAGGUGUGUGGGUGGCAAGCCCUGGGCCUCAAUUGCUAGUCAUCCCCUACAUACCCAGGAGCCCCAAGUGCAGAAGAGGGGAAUACCAGGGCCCACACAGGGCAAAAUCCUCAACUGGCUUCAGAAGCAGCCCAUCUGGAACUUGCAAGUGAGGCCCAACCCUUCUCUCCUGGCUGUGUGCCCGGCUUCCUCACCUUCCCCAGGAGCCAACCUGAAACUUAAGCCACCCAGGUGCUAAAACAACCUGGGGAGCAUCAGCUGAACCCCCAGAGGUACAGACAACCCUCUAGCAGGAAAACCAUCUGACCUGCCAGGAAGAGACAAGUGAGAAGACUCCUAGCCAAGGGGAGGGACAGGAUCAAUCCACCUGUCUGGGCCCAAGUCUGAGAUGAGCCUCCCUGUGGCCAUGUGCCCUGGGGCUUCCUGGCAAGCACAGCCCCGCCCGGCCAUACAGCUGUCCUGGGACUGGAUGGAUGGAUGGAUGGAUGGAUGGAUGGAUGGAUGGAUAAGCUCAAUAGAUUAGAUAAGACACAUUUGCUAGAUAAUAAAAUAGUAAAGGCCCUGAGGACAUACCACCACCAGCCAAGAGAGCAGCUGUGUGCCCAUGAGCAACGUUCACUUUUCCAAUGCAAGAUGCCCACCCAGAAGUGGGCUCCUCCCACACAUGGGUGUUAGGAGGAGAAACAGAGGCGUCUGUAAUCCUCUGAGGCCGCUCCAACAGAGACAUGCACCAAAAGGGAAGAAAACAGGAGAGAUGCUAAGAGUGACAGGAACCCAGCAGGAUGGCUAAGCUUGGAUGGACACAGGAAGAGGGUCUGGGAGCGAAGGGGCGUGCGGGUCCUAGGAGCAUAUCGCCUCCCAAGUACAUGCUAGGACGUGCUGUCUGAGGAGACGCUAACCACAGUAAUCAGAUCAACAGCCAGCUGCUCCCCAUCACCUGUGCGGGCACAGACGGUGAAGAAAUACUGUUCCCACCAGGCAGCCUGCCCCCACCCCACCCUUGGAAUACGGUGACCAUCACUCAAGCACAAGUGUCAAGGUCUGUGGUCUUUACUUCAUCUCACGUGACGGGUGAUAAAUACGGGCACUAGUUAAAGCGACUUCUAAGGAAGAUCCGAAAACCUUAGACCCACGGAAAACGCCAACAGAACAAGACCACAGAGCCCAGCAGCCCAGAGUCCUCAUUUUAGAUGCAGACUGACCUGACCACCCCCUCACAAAGUCUUGGCUGCAAUCGGGCACCUUUUCCCAACACCUCCAGUCACUCAGUUUUCCUCUCUGACCUCGGGUGUCAGAGCUGGGAGGCUGUCCUGAUGACCAAAAGCUUAGCUGGACACAGAGCCCUGGGCUCCUUCACAAGGAAUUCACUGAGGAACAAAAAAGUGAGGCACUGAGGACACCUGCAGUGUGAGUCCGGACAAGCACACUGACACAGCGGAACGGACGCAGCGGAACUGACACGGCGGAACAGACGUGGACGAUGUAGGGCCCCUCUCAGGAUGGCCAGCAGUUCUUCCCCUGCCAGGGCCACCAAGCCUCCCAUGGAGAGACGCUGUCUCUUUCCCUUCCAUUGGAAUCUGGAUGGCCCAGUGACGACUCUGACCAUCAGGAUGCAGGGACUGUGCCGAUUCCAGACCUAAACCUAAAGAAGCCUGGAAGAUCCUGCUCUGGCUCCUGGGAACCCAGUCACCGAGCUGGAGGAAAGUCCAGGCUCCCGUGUGAGUGGGAAACACACGGAGGGGCUCUGGGGAGAGGGCACGCGGAGAACAGCAGAGAGGCCUCUGACAGCACCAGCGCUGUGUGGCGAGGGACACUUCCCUGGACCUCCCAGCCCAGCUGCUCGCUGUUGCACGCACGGCCUCAGCCAACAGCUCGGAGCAAGCGACUGCCCGUUCAUCCAUAAAACGUUCCAAAGCACCAUAGGCUGCUGAGUAAGAAAGGUUUCUGUUUGGGCCAUGAAAUCCACUCUGGUACCAAGUUCCACAUUGCUGCCUCCACGACGCAGGGAUUCCAGUGGCAGCUGAGCCCCGUGGAAGCAGCAGAGCUUCCCGGGACAGGCCAAGCAGGAUCUGGAUCCAGGUUCCACCAGCCACUCGCAGGUGAUCUCCAGCAAAGCUUCUCCAAUGGCCAAUGGGGCUAAGGGUAUGACUUCCUUUGUGACAGGAUUAAAUUCAGUAACACAUGUCAAGGCCUGGUACAGUGCCCGGCACGUCGUGAGCAUGCAGCAAACUGCUGUGACCAGGAAGCACAGAUGCACGAUAGUUCUGUUUUUUUAGGCCAAAGACUUUAUCAGAUGGUUUCUAUAUACCCCUUUAUGCUGGGCACACUGGGUGUGUUUCAAAACCAUGUGGUGACUUGACCUUGUUAAGAGGUUGUAAUCAUAACCCAUUACUCCUAAAUGCAAUCUGGAAAAAUCCCAGAGCACAAUUAGCAUGAAGAGAGGGAGGAAGUGACGGGAGGGGCACUGAGUGGAGAGACAUCUAGAGCUAUUGUCUCUGCCAGGAGGCACUUUAUAUUGAACAACUGUUCUGUUAAACUCCAAGGGUGCUCCAAGGCGAAGGCUGGAGUGCAGGCCCAGAGCGCUAAGUGGCCCCAGAGAGCACAGCUCCAUCUCAGAGUCAAAUGGACACCUGUCAAACAUGAAAUGUUACCCAGGUUAUUAGUGUGCACUAAACUACCUGCAGGGUUUCCACACUGCCUCAAAGGGAAGCCAUUAAGCCAGGAAGCAACUGGCCUACCAUAGGGAGACACUGAUCUUCACAAACAACAGUCCCCGGCUCCCAGAAUAAGCUGCACCCAGCUAUGAGCCUUGUCAUGAGCCAUCUCGUGCCCAGGUGCUUGAGGAACCUAAGGGCACGUGAGAAGGAUCACCAUUUGGCUUCCAGUUGCUCAGCAUUCUUGAUUUUCUAGAAAUACAGGUGGAUCAACAUAAACUUCCAAAGGAGCCAGGUACAAUGGCUCACGCCUGUAAUCCCAGCACUUUAGGAGGCCAAGGCAGGAGGACUGUGGGAGGUUUGAAACCAGCCUAGGCAACAUGGUACAACCCUGUCUCUACAAAAGAAAUUA